RNAcentral lists this microRNA precursor (136 nucleotides) under Hordeum vulgare. RNAcentral's name for it is "microRNA MIR1122". It matches the Rfam family "MIR1120/MIR1122 microRNA precursor family". Lineage: Eukaryota; Viridiplantae; Streptophyta; Magnoliopsida; Poales; Poaceae. The record is from RNAcentral.
AAAAUAUUCCAUCCGUCUCAAAAUUCUUGUAUUUGAUUUGUGUAGAUAUGAAUGUAUCUAGUCAUGUGUUAGUAUUUACAUACAUCCAUUUUUAGACAAACGUAAGACAAGAAUUUUGGGACGGAGGGAGUACUUU